AGCUUCAAUAGCGUAUAUUAAAGUUGUUGCAGUUAAAAAGCUCGUAGUUGGAUUUCUGGCUGGGCAUGCGGGUCCGCUCUUACGAGUGUGCACCAUACAUGUCCGGCCAUCCUUUGGGAGAACCACAGUGGCAUUAAGUUGUUGGUGUGGGGAUCCCAAUCCUUUACUGUGAAGAAAUUAGAAUGUUCAAAGCAGGCUUACGCCGUUGAAUACAUAAGCAUGGAAUAAUAUCAUAGGACUAUUGUACUAUUUUGUUGGUUUGCGCACAAAAGUAAUGAUUAACAGGGACAGUUGGGGGUAUUUGUAUUCCAUUGUCAGAGGUGAAAUUCUUGGAUUUUUGAAGACAAACUACUGCGAAAGCAUUUACCAAAGAUGUUUUCA
This 381-nucleotide ribosomal RNA is filed under the name uncultured eukaryote. RNAcentral's name for it is "SSU rRNA". It matches the Rfam family "Eukaryotic small subunit ribosomal RNA", at positions 587 to 972 of the family's 1831-position model. The record is from RNAcentral.